CCUACGGGAGGCAGCAGUAGGGAAUCUUCCACAAUGGACGAAAGUCUGAUGGAGCAACGCCGCGUGAGUGAAGAAGGGUUUCGGCUCGUAAAGCUCUGUUGGUAGGGAAGAAAGAUAGAGGUAGUAACUGGCCUUGAGUUGACGGUAAUUACUGAGAAAGGCACGGCUAACUACGUGCCAGCAGCCGCGGUAAUACGUAGGUGGCAAGCGUUGUCCGGAUUUAUUGGGCGUAAAGCGAGGGCAGGCGGUUCAAUAAGUCUGAUGUGAAAGCCUUCGGCUCAACCGGAGAAUUGCAUACGAAACUGUUGAACUUGAGUGCAGAAGAGGAGAGUGGAACUCCAUGUGUAGCGGUGUAAUGCGUAGAUAUCUGGAAGAACCCCAGUGGCGAAGGCGGCUCUCUGGUCUGCAACUGACGCUGAGGCUCGAAAGCCUGGGUAGCGAACAGGAUUAGAUACCCCAGUAGUC
Molecule: ribosomal RNA, 465 nt
Filed under: uncultured bacterium
Lineage: Bacteria
Description: partial 16S ribosomal RNA
Rfam family: Bacterial small subunit ribosomal RNA
Source: RNAcentral